RNAcentral lists this ribosomal RNA (490 nucleotides) under uncultured bacterium. RNAcentral's name for it is "partial 16S ribosomal RNA". It matches the Rfam family "Bacterial small subunit ribosomal RNA", at positions 30 to 507 of the family's 1533-position model. The record is from RNAcentral.
AUUGAACGCUGGCGGCAGGCCUAACACAUGCAAGUCGAACGGUAACAGGGAUCAGCUUGCUGAUUCGCUGACGAGUGGCGGACGGGUGAGUAAUGUCUGGGAAACUGCCUGAUGGAGGGGGAUAACUACUGGAAACGGUAGCUAAUACCGCAUAACGUCGCAAGACCAAAGAGGGGGACCUUCGGGCCUCUUGCCAUCGGAUGUGCCCAGAUGGGAUUAGCUAGUAGGUGGGGUAACGGCUCACCUAGGCGACGAUCCCUAGCUGGUCUGAGAGGAUGACCAGCCACACUGGAACUGAGACACGGUCCAGACUCCUACGGGAGGCAGCAGUGGGGAAUAUUGCACAAUGGGCGCAAGCCUGAUGCAGCCAUGCCGCGUGUAUGAAGAAGGCCUUCAGGUUGUAAAGUACUUUCAGCGGGGAGGAAGGGAGUAAAGUUAAUACCUUUGCUCAUUGACGUUACCCGCAGAAGAAGCACCGGCUAACUCCGUG